RNAcentral lists this ribosomal RNA (496 nucleotides) under uncultured bacterium. RNAcentral's name for it is "partial 16S ribosomal RNA". It matches the Rfam family "Bacterial small subunit ribosomal RNA", at positions 29 to 507 of the family's 1533-position model. The record is from RNAcentral.
AUGAACGCUGGCGGCGUGCCUAAUACCUGCAAGUCGAGCGAACAGACGAGGAGCUUGCUCCUCUGACGUUAGCGGCGGACGGGUGAGUAACACGUGGAUAACCUACCUAUAAGACUGGGAUAACUUCGGGAAACCGGAGCUAAUACCGGAUAAUAUAUUGAACCGCAUGGUUCAAUAGUGAAAGACGGUUUUGCUGUCACUUAUAGAUGGAUCCGCGCCGCAUUAGCUAGUUGGUAAGGUAACGGCUUACCAAGGCAACGAUGCGUAGCCGACCUGAGAGGGUGAUAGGCCACACUGGAACUGAGACACGGUCCAGACUCCUACGGGAGGCAGCAGUAGGGAAUCUUCCGCAAUGGGCGAAAGCCUGACGGAGCAACGCCGCGUGAGUGAUGAAGGUCUUCGGAUCGUAAAACUCUGUUAUUAGGGAAGAACAAAUGUGUAAGUAACUAUGCACGUCUUGACGGUACCUAAUCAGAAAGCCACGGCUAACUACGUG